Molecule: ribosomal RNA, 497 nt
Filed under: uncultured bacterium
Lineage: Bacteria
Description: partial 16S ribosomal RNA
Rfam family: Bacterial small subunit ribosomal RNA
Source: RNAcentral
GAUGAACGCUGGCGGCGUGCCUAAUACAUGCAAGUCGAGCGGAAGGACCAUGAGCUUGUUUCUUUGAUGUUUGCCGCGGAGGGGUGAAUCACACGUGGAUAACCCACCUAUAAGACUGGGAUCAUCUCGGGAAACCGGAUCUUAUACCGGAUAAUAUUUUGCACCGCAUUGGUCCAAGGUGAAAGACGGUGUUUCGGUCUCUUAUAGAGGGUUCCGCGCUGCAUUAGCUAGUUGGUAAGGUAACGGCUUAUCAAGGCAACGAUGCGUAGCCGACCUGAGAGGGUGAUCGGCCACACUGGAACUGAGACACGGUCCAGACUCCUACGGGAGGCAGCAGUAGGGAAUCUUCCGCAAUGGGCGAAAGCCUGACGGAGCAACGCCGCGUGAGUGAUGAAGGUCUUCGGAUCGUAAAACUCUGUUAUUAGGGAAGAACAUAUGUGUAAGUAACUGUGCACAUCUUGACGGUACCUAAUCAGAAAGCCACGGCUAACUACGUG